GUGGGGAAUCUUGCGCAAUGGGCGAAAGCCUGACGCAGCCAUGCCGCGUGAAUGAUGAAGGUCUUAGGAUUGUAAAAUUCUUUCACCGGGGACGAUAAUGACGGUACCCGGAGAAGAAGCUCCGGCUAACUUCGUGCCAGCAGCCGCGGUAAUACGAAGGGGGCUAGCGUUGCUCGGAAUUACUGGGCGUAAAGGGCGCGUAGGCGGACAGUUUAGUCAGAGGUGAAAGCCCAGGGCUCAACCUUGGAAUUGCCUUUGAUACUGACUGUCUUGAGUACGGGAGAGGUGAGUGGAACUCCGAGUGUAGAGGUGAAAUUCGUAGAUAUUCGGAAGAACACCAGUGGCGAAGGCGACUCACUGGCCCGUUACUGACGCUGAGGCGCGAAAGCGUGGGGAGCAAACAGGAUUAGAAACCCCAGUAGUCC
Molecule: ribosomal RNA, 425 nt
Filed under: uncultured bacterium
Lineage: Bacteria
Description: partial 16S ribosomal RNA
Rfam family: Bacterial small subunit ribosomal RNA
Source: RNAcentral